Long non-coding RNA from Acanthopagrus latus (yellowfin seabream), 894 nucleotides. RefSeq lists it as uncharacterized. The transcript has 2 exons. NCBI's taxonomy places the organism in Eukaryota, Metazoa, Chordata, Actinopteri, Spariformes, Sparidae. The record is from RefSeq and is a predicted model, not a curated record.
AAAAAAAGUCGCCACUCGCGGCACUGUUGGAGACGUGGUGUUUUCCAACAGUUUCAACGCAGUUCAGGCGAGUUGAAGGGAGCACGGUGACUGUUUCUGCAAGACAUAGCAAAAGAACAGCUCAGGGGUUUUUUUUCUCAACCUUGCUCGCCUUCGUUUCAGUUCAACAACGAGGCUGAACGAGGAGUCACAUGUCUUGGUUCACAGUGAGGUCGAAGCGGGGUUGGCAUGUGGAUGGCAGUGGAUGUGGAAUGGACCACCUGUUCCUGGGAUCGGCAGCUUUUGUUGCAGAGGUCAGUCCAGGGAGGAGACUUUCACAAAGCUGUCCUUCCCAGCCAGUUCUACUUCCAGUGGCUCUACUGAGGACUACAAUAUAAUGUGUAAAUGUUACAGAGAAACCCUGUGAGCUACUCCUCUAAUUAAGUUAAAUAACCAGGUACCAAUUUUUACUUUACUACUUUUUUGAGGAAAAUAUUGUUUCUUUUUCUCCACUAUAUUUAUGCGAGAGGCCCUUUUCUCUUUUCAGGUUCAGCUUUACAUACAAAUCAAGCAACAUUACUGUAGUGCCAAUCACUAGUUAAACUGGAGCAGGUCUAAACCAUUCUCUUUAAAGCAGCAUUGUGUAGUUUGGUGGAAACAUUUUUAUUACAAGAGAAAUCUUCAUUGUCUGAUUUUUACUAUGCCCAAACAUUCAGGUCUGAACAAACUGAAUAAACAAACCGAGCUUAAAGGACAACACUAUUUAAUUACUGUCUUACUCUGUGUACAUGUGGCCUUGCCAUCUUUCUAGCUCCAAACAGUGUUCUGAGGACCUUGUUUUCUUUUGAGAACAUCUUGUUUAUUCAGCAAUGGAAAAAAAUAAAUAUUUCUAAGUUUGUAUAAUUACCUCAAUGA